CCCUUAGAUGUUCUGGGCCGCACACGCGCUACACUGAAGGAGGCAGCGUGUACUCCUGGAUCGAAAGAUUUGGGUAACCCGCGAAUCUCCUUCGUGCUAGGGAUUGGGGUUUGCAAUUAUCCUUCAUGAACGAGGAAUUCCCAGUAAGUGCAAGUCAUAAGCUUGCGCUGACUACGUCCCUGCCCUUUGUACACACCGCCCGUCGCUACUACCGAUUGAAUGAUUUAGUGAGGACUUCGGACUGGGACCGAUGCGGCUUUCGGGCUGCGUCGGUAUUCUGGAAAGAUGUCCAAACUGUAUCAUUUAGAGGAAGUAAANGUCGUAACA
Molecule: ribosomal RNA, 327 nt
Filed under: uncultured eukaryote
Lineage: Eukaryota
Description: partial 18S ribosomal RNA
Rfam family: Eukaryotic small subunit ribosomal RNA
Source: RNAcentral